This 486-nucleotide ribosomal RNA is filed under the name uncultured bacterium. Its description in RNAcentral is "partial 16S ribosomal RNA". It matches the Rfam family "Bacterial small subunit ribosomal RNA", at positions 30 to 507 of the family's 1533-position model. The record is from RNAcentral.
AUUGAACGCUGGCGGCAUGCCUUACACAUGCAAGUCGAACGGCAGCACGGGUGCUUGCACCUGUUGGCGAGUGGCGAACGGGUGAGUAAUACAUCGGAACAUGUCCUGUAGUGGUGGAUAGCCCGGCGAAAGCCGGAUUAAUACCGCAUACGAUCUACGGAUGAAAGCGGGGGGCCUUCGGGCCUCGCGCUAUAGGGUUGGCCGAUGGCUGAUUAGCUAGUUGGUGGGGUAAAGGCCUACCAAGGCGACGAUCAGUAGCUGGUCUGAGAGGACGACCAGCCACACUGGGACUGAGACACGGCCCAGACUCCUACGGGAGGCAGCAGUGGGGAAUUUUGGACAAUGGGCGAAAGCCUGAUCCAGCAAUGCCGCGUGUGUGAAGAAGGCCUUCGGGUUGUAAAGCACUUUUGUCCGGAAAGAAAUCCUUGGCUCUAAUACAGUCGGGGGAUGACGGUACCGGAAGAAUAAGCACCGGCUAACUACGUG